GCACUUACCUGGACGGGGUCAAUGGGCGAUCAAGAAGGCCCAUGUCAUAGGUUUGUGACCUCUAUUGCACUUAGGAGGGGUGCUCUCGUAUGGUCUCCCCAAGCGGGAGAGCCAGCGUCAUAAUUUGUGUUAGUGGGGGCCUGCGUUCGCGCGGCCCCUAU
Molecule: small nuclear RNA, 161 nt
Organism: Pyrus x bretschneideri (Chinese white pear)
Lineage: Eukaryota; Viridiplantae; Streptophyta; Magnoliopsida; Rosales; Rosaceae
Product: U1 spliceosomal RNA
Exons: 1
Source: RefSeq, a predicted model, not a curated record